Molecule: long non-coding RNA, 1096 nt
Organism: Spinacia oleracea (spinach)
Lineage: Eukaryota; Viridiplantae; Streptophyta; Magnoliopsida; Caryophyllales; Amaranthaceae
Exons: 4
Source: RefSeq, a predicted model, not a curated record
AAGAGAUUUUUGCAGCGUACAUAGUAAAAGCCCCCUGCAAUAGACCUUUUAUUUUGCAGCGUACAUGGUAAAAGCCCCCUGCAAUAACAUAUUUGUAAUUUUUUUCGCUGCAACUUUAACUCAGACCAAACAUUUCUACCUCAAACCUCAUGACCAAUUUCGCAGCGAAUAUCCCACUCUCAUUACUCCCUUCUUCUUCUCUCGGCUUACCCUGCGUCUCACCGGUGGUUCUCACCAGUGGUCGUCGCCGCGUGGUCUCGCCCGUCGCCGGUGGUACUCUAGCAAGAGUCUAUUUAAUUUCCUCACCUCUCACCGGUGGUUCCCUGCUCGAAAAACCCCCGCAAAAGGUAUUCCCUGCUCGAAAAAACAACCGGCGAAGUGAUUCCCUGCUCGGAAAACUAAGCUUCUUUGCUCGGCCGGUUCGCGAACCCUGUUCUCCUUCAAUCCUCGCUGCGGCAAGUAACUUUCUCCCCUGUCCCUUUUUAUUUUCGUUUUCAAAAUUAGGGUUUGUUCAUUUUUCAUUUUUGCAGAGAAAGCCAAAGAAAUUGUUGGCUGACAAGAUUAGGAGAAAAUACAUACGUUUAUCUCGGAGACUUCCUCCACCCUUUUGAAGGGCGCAUAUACCAGUAAAAAACCGUACUGUUAUAAUACUCGAGACAGAUACUGGAGAACAAUACGAAGCCAAUUAUCUGCCUCAAUAUCGUGGACUCAGUGGUGGGUGGAAAAGGUUUGCCAUAGUUCUGAAAUUGGAAGGAGAUACUGUUGUUUUUCAACUAGUUGAACCUGCCAAAUUUAAGUCUACCUCUUCUAGAAUCAAAUCACUAAACUAGUUGAAGCUGAGGAUAAAAGCUGCUAAUGAAGCUGAGGCGGCUUGCCAACGGCGUCUCUCUGUUGCUGAGGCUGAAAUAGCUGAUUUAAGAUCCAAAUUGGAUACUACUGAAAGCAUGGAAGGCAAGCAUUCGUUUCUGUGCCUAGCACUUUUCCUGUGCCUGGAGAAGAACUGAUGUUUUGAUGAUUGUAAGAGGGGCAAGGAGAAGCUUGUUUGUGAUGCUGCUCAAGUACUGCUUUAUUUCGGAGUUGAACAAAUCAUCUAUGU